GAUCAUGGCUCAGGAUGAACGCUAGCUACAGGCUUAACACAUGCAAGUCGAGGGGCAGCAUGGUCUUAGCUUGCUAAGGCCGAUGGCGACCGGCGCACGGGUGAGUAACGCGUAUCCAACCUGCCUUACACUCUUGGACAGCCUUCUGAAAGGGAGAUUAAUACAAGAUGUUAUCAUGAGUAAGCAUUUUCGCAUGAUUAAAGGUAUUUUCCGGUAGACGAUGGGGAUGCG
RNAcentral lists this ribosomal RNA (231 nucleotides) under uncultured bacterium. RNAcentral's name for it is "partial 16S ribosomal RNA". It matches the Rfam family "Bacterial small subunit ribosomal RNA", at positions 15 to 235 of the family's 1533-position model. The record is from RNAcentral.